GCUAAACAAUUAUAUUUGGGUUUACAAACACAUGAAUGAUUAAAAUAAAUCAUUGAAACUUUCUAUAAAGGAUAAAUUUUCAUAAAUUUACAUAUUUGUGGUUACUGAUUAGAUCAUGUUGUUUGAGGAAGAGUAUUGGAAUAGGUUGAAAGUUAAUCUUAAUUAAUGGUAGUAAUUAGAGAAUGGAUUUUUCCUAGUUUUUACAGUAGUUGAGUCAGAAUUUCAAGUAGGUCUUUAUGGUUUCUUAUAUGAUUCAGAACUGGCAUGAAAAACAUUUCAGUACAUUUGUGUUAUUUCUGUGUAGUAAUAUCAGCUGUUUAUCUCCAUUCGCUGUUCCUGAUUAUUCUAAAAUCAUCCUAAUUUGUGUGUCCUGGUGUCUUAUUUGUAUCUAAUUGGCUAUAUUGUAUAAUUACUUCUCAGAUGAGCACAAUGAAAGGAAGAGAUUUACAGAUAAUCUGAGGACAGCUGACAUUCCUAUGGUCUUUCUUAAUUCAUAAGUCUUAACUGGGAACUACAGGAGAUAAUUCUAAGAAAACACACUUUUGCCAUCUUUGUUUGUAAUUGCAAGAAUCAGUACCAUAAGACCUCUGUUGGCAACAUUAUUCAUUUGAGUAUUCGUCAUCUCCCAUCUCUGGUUUCGGGAAUACUGCUUGGCAAAAUGAUUGUGAUGACCAAAUAGGAAACUGAUGUUAUUGCUUCUGACACCAUCUUCAAAUCCAAAAACGGUCUUUAUAAUGUAUGGAGACUCCUCCUUUCAUGUGUUGGAGUAAGACACUCCUCCAGAACAACUGGACUGAGAAAGCCCUUGUUUGAAAGUUACCUAAAGAUUAUCAUUGGAGGGAAUUGUAACCAGGCAUGUUGACUGUUUUCAUUAUUGACAUUGCACUAAAUCUCGGGAGCUUGAAUGAUGGAGAUGCUAUUACACAGAGAAGCUCAGGAUGAUAUGAUUGCAAGGCUUCAUUUCAAUGUUCCCAUAAAUAUUAAGUGCACAUAUUUAUAAUUUUCACUUUUAACAGGGUAAAUUUAAAAUUGAUGCAGAAAAAUAAAUUACCUUUUUUCCAGAUUUGAAAGGACACAAAGUUGUAAAGGGUAGUAUUUUUACUUUUUAAAUGCUUUUUCCUCCCUCCUAAUUCUACUCCCCAACAUUAUCUGCUGUUAAGGAGUUUUGUGCAUAUCCUUUUGGGGUGUAUCAAUAAACAAAUUGAUAAUGCCAGUAGUCAUUUGGGCCCAUACAUUAGCUACAAAUUUUCUCUUCAGUGAACAUGCUUAUAUGUAAUCUAUUUUUUAACUUCUCCAGCUAAGUUGUUGAAAUAGUCCUACUACUUCCACUUCAUUGGAAUUAAGUAUUUCCAAAAUUUAUGUUUUGAGUUAAAAGUAGAGAUUUCCCCAGAAUUGUGUAAAUUAUCCUCAUCAAUAUUGUCUCCCAGUGUUUGUUUAUGAGACUUAUUUUUUCUAAAACAGUACAAACAUUGGAUGUCAAUGUUUUAAUUUUUGAUAGUAUGAUUACUACAAAGAAAUUGUUUUUCUUCAGUUAUUGUUCAUUUCAGUCAUCUUCAUAUGUCCUUAAACUGUACUAGUCAUUUGUUAUUCUGUGUUUUGUGUUAUUUUGUUUUUUGUUUUUUUUCAUUUCCCUUGGAAUACUAGUGUCUUUGUUACUGGCUUUUAAAAGAUCUUUUAUGACUAACGAUUUUAACCAUUUACCAUGCUUUGCAAAUGAAAUACCAUGUUUUUUCACCAUUUUACUGUGAUAUUUUACUUUUUGGUGUACAGAAGUUGUAUAUUGAAAUAUAACAAUAUUGUGUUUCAUGCCUUUUGAGUUUUGUGUUUUUAUUUAAAACAUGACUGCAUUACUAUCUUUUGUAUUUUCUUUUGUUGUUAAUUAUUUUGUCAUUUUUUCCCCAUCAAUCGUUACUGUGGCUUUAAAGCAUUACUUACUCAAAUAAUUAACUUAAGCAGUUACCAAUUAUUUUAAUUUCUACCAUAGUAAUUUAGAAAUUCCCAAAUAAUAUCAGCUGCAUUUCUAUUUUCUUGCCUUACCUUCUAUUGAUACUUUAAAAUUACUGAUGAUUUUUAGUCUAUUCCAUUGAGUUCUAUGUCAUUUCUCUUCUUUUUUUCAGAAUAUUCCCUGUCUAUAGUCACAUUUUUUUCUCUCAAUUGAUGCUUAAAAUUAUUUUGCAAGUUGGAAAAAAUGCAGUUUUAAUUUCAUUUGCACCAAAUUUAAUAGAUUAAUUAGGAGAGAAUAGAUCUCUUUAAAAUUGAGUCUUCCUCUCCAACUGCAAGGUUAAUGCAAGAGUGGAAGGGAGUGUGGAUAAGAUACUGUGGAUAUAAAGUGAUAAUGCAAAAUGAACUGAUUAAUAGAUGGACACAAGAAUGAAUGAUUUGAUGGAUAUGGGCCUAAAAGAAUAUAUAGUUUUAACUGAGGUGUUACCAGCUUAAGAAGUGAGACAUUUUAGAUGCUUCACUACCUGACAUUUCCAUAUCAAUCCAAAUUCUUAUACUUGUUUAUCAUUUCUGUGGACUUCAUUCUUCAACAGUGCUGCAUGUUUCAUAAGCAAGGACCAAAGAGACUUUGACCACAGGUGGUGAACAAGUAUACAAGAGGAUCAUAGAUACCUUCCUGCAGUGGUUCCAUCCACAGCAUCGCCAAAUUGAUGUUGUUAUUUCCCUCUUUUUGAAGCUUAUUGCAUCAUUGUAUCUCAAAGGGCACAAGUUAUAAAUAUAAAUAUAGAUAUAAAUGUAAAUAUAGAUAUAGAUAUAAAUAUAAAUAUAAAUAUAAAUAUAAAUAUAAAUAUAAACCUC
This is a long non-coding RNA of Panthera uncia (snow leopard), 2799 nucleotides long. RefSeq lists it as uncharacterized. NCBI's taxonomy places the organism in Eukaryota, Metazoa, Chordata, Mammalia, Carnivora, Felidae. The record is from RefSeq and is a predicted model, not a curated record. The transcript is spliced from 7 exons.